UAAGUACUCAAAGGAUGACAAGUCAGGCAAUUUAUUAUUUAGGGGCAUAGAAGUAUGUGGGUUCCCUGUUCCACAGGCAGCACAGGCAAAUGAUAUGAAUAUGAAAUAGGAAUUGCUGUGCAAAAAUAUUUGUAGGAGUUCUUUUUGUAGGGGCAGGAACCUAGAAACUGAGUGGAUACCCAUCAGUUGGUUCUAUAUGAAACGAUCAAGAGGAUGAUUUCAAAGAGGCCUGGAGAGACUUACAUGAACUGAUGCUGAGUGAAGUGAGCAGAAGCAGGAGAUCAUUGUACAUGACAGCAGCAAGAUUAUAUGAUGAUCAAUUCUGAUGGAUGAGGCUCUCGUCAACAAGGAGUCUCAUUGGUGGGAACUGGCAAAGCAACUCCUCCGUGCUGACUUUUCCGCAGAAUUCCCGCAAAGGUGUUUUCUGCUGAAAUCCUCCAAACACCGGGGGACCCGCCCCAUAAGCUGUUCUAUUCCCCUCCGUCUGCAGCGGCUCUGCCUGCCCAGCCUUCUCCUGGCAUCGCAAGGGCUAAACUGCAACGUCCUUCCUACAAAGUCUCUGGAAAGCUGCGGUAAUCCCUACUCCGUCCUGUAGGCACGUUCAAGGCCAUUGAAACUACUAAUUUAGCUCUCAGAACGUACGUUGGUGAGCAUCGGGGGGGGAUGGGGGAGGGGGAUCCUUUACCCCCCCCCCCCCAUCCUGCUUCUAAAGGGACGUGAGGAAGUGUAAAAACAAAAACGCAGCUCGGGAUCUGAAGCUGAGCUAGUGCAGCCUGCGGGGGAUGCUGCGGUCACACACCGGAGGCCGGGGACGGCUUGCUGGCAGGUUUUGGAUCUCAGUUUAUGCACUAUCAAAUGCUCCAACAGCUACCUGCUGUGCAGAUAUAUUUACUGUUGAUUGAAGUGUGAGCCAUAUGCUUCAGAUACAACGGUGGGAGACAGUCAAGGUUGACUGCCACUCUCCUUGGAAGCUGGAGAGGCAGCUGCAUUCUUCCUGGAAUACGAGUCAACCUUCUCCAGCAGAGUCUGGACAAAGGCAGGAGCAGAAGGAAGACAGUCUCUACAGGCAAUAUUUAGCUUAAAAUAUUUAGUUUAGAAAAAAAUCCCUUUUAAAGAGCACUGUGCCAGGCAUUACAGCAACUAAUUCUUGCUAUCAUCAUCCAAAAGGAGUUACAAUAGGGCAAAUAGAAAAACCUACACAUACCCUGAUAAGGAUUCAAAAAUAAAAGUAAAAUGGAAAAAUCCAUGUGUGUUGUGUGAGUUAUAAAUCAUGUUUUCCUGGGCAAGGAAAACUUAAAGACAGACUAUUCUGUCUGGUUGAAUUGGAUUCACUUUUUUCCUUUUGUUUAUUUUUAAUUUUUGCUUUUCAUUUUUAUAUGACAUUACCUUGUGUUCCUCCCUUUUCCCCUCAUGAAGAGAGUUUUUUCUUGGAAGAAUAAAAAACAAAAGAAAAAAACAAGUAUGGUUGUCUUUUAGAUGUCCUUUUUAGAUGUCAGCAAAUUCUUAGGCUGAGGGGCAAGGCCAGAGAUUAUUAGAUAUAAGGAUGAAGUCCUAUCAAAAAUGAUUGAGUUAUUCCACACCUUUUACCUUCAGGGUACAAACUGUCCCAUAUUUUUUUGUCCAACACUCAUUUGUACUGAAUCACAGAAUAUUAGUCUUAAAAAUAUGGAGAUCCUUGAACCCCAGAACUGUUUGGUGGAUUUUGGGGCAAAUGUCCACUGCUUGGUCAUGGACUACUUAUGCACAAAUGAAUAUUCAGGAAACAUACUGGAUAGUCACUAUAAGUUAAGGUAACAUCUCUCCCUGAAGGGGGCCUAGUCUGAACCAAUAAAGAGAUAUGCAAAGAAGAAACUAUACAAACAUUUCCCCUUCUCUUUUUCUUGCCUGACAUUUA
Sarcophilus harrisii (Tasmanian devil) is the source of this 1894-nucleotide long non-coding RNA. Lineage: Eukaryota; Metazoa; Chordata; Mammalia; Dasyuromorphia; Dasyuridae. The record is from Ensembl.